GACGAACGCUGGCGGCGUGCUUAACACAUGCAAGUCGAACGGAAAGGCCCUGCUUUUGUGGGGUGCUCGAGUGGCGAACGGGUGAGUAACACGUGAGUAACCUGCCCUUGACUUUGGGAUAACUUCAGGAAACUGGGGCUAAUACCGGAUAGGAGCUCCUGCUGCAUGGUGGGGGUUGGAAAGUUUCGGCGGUUGGGGAUGGACUCGCGGCUUAUCAGCUUGUUGGUGGGGUAGUGGCUUACCAAGGCUUUGACGGGUAGCCGGCCUGAGAGGGUGACCGGGCACAUUGGGACUGAGAUACGGCCCAGACUCCUACGGGAGGCAGCAGUGGGGAAUAUUGCACAAUGGGCGGAAGCCUGAUGAAGCAACGCCGCGUGCGGGAUGACGGCCUUCGGGUUGUAAACCGCUUUCGCCUGUGACGAAGCGUGAGUGACGGUAAUGGGUAAAGAAGCACCGGCUAACUACGUG
RNAcentral lists this ribosomal RNA (468 nucleotides) under uncultured bacterium. RNAcentral describes it as "partial 16S ribosomal RNA". It matches the Rfam family "Bacterial small subunit ribosomal RNA", at positions 28 to 507 of the family's 1533-position model. The record is from RNAcentral.